GCCUGGCUGGUUCAGUCAGUAGAGCAUGUGACUGUAGAUCUCAGGGAUGUGAAUUUGAGCUCCAUGUUGGGUG
Molecule: transfer RNA, 73 nt
Filed under: Ailuropoda melanoleuca (giant panda)
Lineage: Eukaryota; Metazoa; Chordata; Mammalia; Carnivora; Ursidae
Rfam family: tRNA
About the family: Transfer RNA (tRNA) molecules are approximately 80 nucleotides in length. Their secondary structure includes four short double-helical elements and three loops (D, anti-codon, and T loops). Further hydrogen bonds mediate the characteristic L-shaped molecular structure. tRNAs have two regions of fundamental functional importance: the anti-codon, which is responsible for specific mRNA codon recognition, and the 3' end, to which the tRNAs corresponding amino acid is attached (by aminoacyl-tRNA synthetases). tRNAs cope with the degeneracy of the genetic code in two manners: having more than one tRNA (with a specific anti-codon) for a particular amino acid; and 'wobble' base-pairing, i.e. permitting non-standard base-pairing at the 3rd anti-codon position.
Source: Rfam by way of RNAcentral